RNAcentral lists this ribosomal RNA (469 nucleotides) under uncultured bacterium. RNAcentral describes it as "partial 16S ribosomal RNA". It matches the Rfam family "Bacterial small subunit ribosomal RNA", at positions 28 to 508 of the family's 1533-position model. The record is from RNAcentral.
GACGAACGCUGGCGGCGUGCUUAACACAUGCAAGUCGAACGGAAAGGCCCUGCUUUUGUGGGGUGCUCGAGUGGCGAACGGGUGAGUAACACGUGAGUAACCUGCCCUUGACUUUGGGAUAACUUCAGGAAACUGGGGCUAAUACCGGAUAGGAGCUCCUGCUGCAUGGUGGGGGUUGGAAAGUUUCGGCGGUUGGGGAUGGACUCGCGGCUUAUCAGCUUGUUGGUGGGGUAGUGGCUUACCAAGGCUUUGACGGGUAGCCGGCCUGAGAGGGUGACCGGCCACAUUGGGACUGAGAUACGGCCCAGACUCCUACGGGAGGCAGCAGGGGGGAAUAUUGCACAAGGGGCGGAAGCCUGAUGCAGCAACGCCGCGUGCGGGAGGACGGCCUUCGGGUUGUAAACCGCUUUCGCCUGUGACGAAGCGUGAGUGACGGUAAUGGGUAAAGAAGCACCGGCUAACUACGUGC